This 502-nucleotide ribosomal RNA is filed under the name uncultured bacterium. RNAcentral describes it as "bacterial SSU rRNA". It matches the Rfam family "Bacterial small subunit ribosomal RNA", at positions 15 to 507 of the family's 1533-position model. The record is from RNAcentral.
GAUCCUGGCUCAGGAUGAACGCUAGCUACAGGCUUAACACAUGCAAGUCGAGGGGCAGCAUGAACUUAGCUUGCUAAGUUUGAUGGCGACCGGCGCACGGGUGAGUAACACGUAUCCAACCUGCCGAUGACUCGGGGAUAGCCUUUCGAAAGAAAGAUUAAUACCCGAUGGCAUAGUUCUUCCGCAUGGUAGAACUAUUAAAGAAUUUCGGUCAUCGAUGGGGAUGCGUUCCAUUAGGUUGUUGGCGGGGUAACGGCCCACCAAGCCUUCGAUGGAUAGGGGUUCUGAGAGGAAGGUCCCCCACAUUGGAACUGAGACACGGUCCAAACUCCUACGGGAGGCAGCAGUGAGGAAUAUUGGUCAAUGGACGAGAGUCUGAACCAGCCAAGUAGCGUGAAGGAUGACUGCCCUAUGGGUUGUAAACUUCUUUUAUACGGGAAUAAAGUGAGGCACGUGUGCCUUUUUGUAUGUACCGUAUGAAUAAGGAUCGGCUAACUCCGUG